RNAcentral lists this unclassified non-coding RNA (329 nucleotides) under soil metagenome. Its description in RNAcentral is "partial contains 5.8S ribosomal RNA, internal transcribed spacer 2, and large subunit ribosomal RNA". The stretch from base 1 to 120 matches the Rfam family "5.8S ribosomal RNA", at positions 35 to 154 of the family's 154-position model. The record is from RNAcentral.
GAUGAAGAACGUAGCGAAAUGCGAUACGUAAUGUGAAUUGCAGAAUUCAGUGAAUCAUCGAAUCUUUGAACGCACAUUGCGCCCCUUGGUAUUCCGAGGGGCAUGCCUGUUCGAGCGUCAUUAUAACCCCUCAAGCUCAGCUUGGUGUUGGGGCCUGCUGCACUGGCAGCCCCUAAAAUCAGUGGCGGCGCCAUCUGGCUCUAAGCGUAGUAAUUCUUCUCGCUAUGGAGUCCUGGUGGAUGCUUGCCAUCAACCCCCAAUUUUUCUAUGGUUGACCUCGGAUCAGGUAGGGAUACCCGCUGAACUUAAGCAUAUCAAUAAGCGGAGGA